AACGUUGGGAACUAGAUGUAGGGCCUGUUCCACGGGUUCUGUGUCGUAGCUAACGCAUUAAGUUCCCCGCCUGGGGAGUACGGCCCGCAAGGCUAAAACUCAAAGGAAUUGACGGGGGCCCGCACAAGCGGCGGAGCAUGCGGAUUAAUUCGAUGCAACGCGAAGAACCUUACCAAGGCUUGACAUAGCCGAGAACGCUGUAGAGAUACAGAACUCUUUGGACACUCGGUUACAGGUGGUGCAUGGUUGUCGUCAGCUCGUGUCGUGAGAUGUUCGGUUAAGUCCGGCAACGAGCGCAACCCUCGUCCUAUGUUGCCAGCACGUUAUGGUGGGAACUCAUGGGAUACUGCCGUGGUCAACACGGAGGAAGGUGGGGAUGACGUCAAGUCAUCAUGCCCCUUAUGUCUUGGGCUUCACGCAUGCUACAAUGGCCGAUACAAAGGGCUGCGAUACCGCGAGGUGGAGCGAAUCCCAAAAAGUCGGUCUCAGUUCGGAUUGGGGUCUGCAACUCGACCCCAUGAAGUCGGAGUCGCUAGUAAUCGCAGAUCAGCAACGCUGGGGUGAAUACGUUCCCGGGCCUUGUACACACCGCCCGUCAAGUCAUGAAAGUCGGUAACACCCGAAGCCGGUGGCCUAACCCUUGUGGAGGGAGCCGUCGAAGGUGGGACUGGUGAUUAGGACU
Molecule: ribosomal RNA, 682 nt
Filed under: uncultured bacterium
Lineage: Bacteria
Description: bacterial SSU rRNA
Rfam family: Bacterial small subunit ribosomal RNA
Source: RNAcentral